AGGUUCUGGUUUAUGUGACUGGGUAAAAUCUCCUGUUGUAGCCAAAGGUAUGGAGGCAUGAAUGACAUGUGUUGGCCCCUCCUCUCACUUCUGCUGUGCUGCGCUGCUGAGCUUCAAGCGCAACAACCCGGAGAGCGCAGCAGCGACUUCACCGCUGCAACUUUGAUGACAGGGUUUUUUGGAGCCGUCGAUGAGCGCGUUUGAAGUACCUUGCUGGUGAAGACAAGGGGAUCGAAGCUCGACCUGUGGUUCCCCCUCUGCCAGUCGGAUCAAAAUGAAAUUCCUGAUUUGUAUGAUAGCAGUCGCCUUGGCGGUGAGAUCUGCGCACGGAG
Long non-coding RNA from Cottoperca gobio, 332 nucleotides. RefSeq lists it as uncharacterized. The record is from RefSeq and is a predicted model, not a curated record. Lineage: Eukaryota; Metazoa; Chordata; Actinopteri; Perciformes; Bovichtidae. The transcript is spliced from 3 exons.